RNAcentral lists this ribosomal RNA (406 nucleotides) under uncultured bacterium. RNAcentral's name for it is "bacterial SSU rRNA". It matches the Rfam family "Bacterial small subunit ribosomal RNA", at positions 355 to 776 of the family's 1533-position model. The record is from RNAcentral.
UGAGGAAUCUUCCACAAUGGGGGCAACCCUGAUGGAGCAACGCCGCGUGCAGGAUGAAGGCCUUCGGGUUGUAAACUGCUUUUAUUAGUGAGGAAUAUGACGGUAACUAAUGAAUAAGGAUCGGCUAACUACGUGCCAGCAGCCGCGGUCAUACGUAGGAUCCGAGCGUUAUCCGGAGUGACUGGGCGUAAAGAGUUGCGUAGGUGGUUAGUAAAGCGAAUAGUGAAAUCUGGUGGCUCAACCAUACAGGCUAUUAUUCGAACUCACUAACUCGAGAGUGGUAGAGGUAACUGGAAUUUCUUGUGUAGGAGUGAAAUCCGUAGAUAUAAGAAGGAACACCAAUGGCGUAGGCAGGUUACUGGACCAUUUCUGACACUGAGGCACGAAAGCGUGGGGAGCGAACCGG